This 560-nucleotide ribosomal RNA is filed under the name uncultured Bacillus sp. RNAcentral describes it as "bacterial SSU rRNA". It matches the Rfam family "Bacterial small subunit ribosomal RNA", at positions 339 to 890 of the family's 1533-position model. Lineage: Bacteria; Bacillati; Bacillota; Bacilli; Caryophanales; Bacillaceae. The record is from RNAcentral.
CUACGGGAGGCAGCAGUAGGGAAUCUUCCGCAAUGGACGAAAGUCUGACGGAGCAACGCCGCGUGAGCGAUGAAGGCCUUCGGGUCGUAAAGCUCUGUUGUCAGGGAAGAACAAGUACCGGAGUAACUGCCGGUACCUUGACGGUACCUGACCAGAAAGCCACGGCUAACUACGUGCCAGCAGCCGCGGUAAUACGUAGGUGGCAAGCGUUGUCCGGAAUUAUUGGGCGUAAAGCGCGCGCAGGCGGUUCCUUAAGUCUGAUGUGAAAGCCCCCGGCUCAACCGGGGAGGGUCAUUGGAAACUGGGGAACUUGAGUGCAGAAGAGGAGAGCGGAAUUCCACGUGUAGCGGUGAAAUGCGUAGAGAUGUGGAGGAACACCAGUGGCGAAGGCGGCUCUCUGGUCUGUAACUGACGCUGAGGCGCGAAAGCGUGGGGAGCGAACAGGAUUAGAUACCCUGGUAGUCCACGCCGUAAACGAUGAGUGCUAAGUGUUAGAGGGUUUCCGCCCUUUAGUGCUGCAGCAAACGCAUUAAGCACUCCGCCUGGGGAGUACGGCCGCA